RNAcentral lists this ribosomal RNA (465 nucleotides) under Vreelandella stevensii. RNAcentral describes it as "partial 16S ribosomal RNA". It matches the Rfam family "Bacterial small subunit ribosomal RNA", at positions 338 to 795 of the family's 1533-position model. The record is from RNAcentral. Lineage: Bacteria; Pseudomonadati; Pseudomonadota; Gammaproteobacteria; Oceanospirillales; Halomonadaceae.
CCUACGGGAGGCUGCAGUGGGGAAUAUUGGACAAUGGGCGAAAGCCUGAUCCAGCCAUGCCGCGUGUGUGAAGAAGGCCUUCGGGUUGUAAAGCACUUUCAGUGGGGAAGAAAGCCUUGGGGCUAAUACCCUCGAGGAAGGACAUCACCCACAGAAGAAGCACCGGCUAACUCCGUGCCAGCAGCCGCGGUAAUACGGAGGGUGCGAGCGUUAAUCGGAAUUACUGGGCGUAAAGCGCGCGUAGGCGGUCUGAUAAGCCGGUUGUGAAAGCCCCGGGCUCAACCUGGGAACGGCAUCCGGAACUGUCAGGCUAGAGGGCCGGAGAGGAAGGGAGAAAUCCCGGUGUAGCGGUGAAAUGCGUAGAGAUCGGGAGGAAUACCAGUGGCGAAGGCGGCCUUCUGGACUGACACUGACGCUGAGGUGCGAAAGCGUGGGUAGCAAACAGGAUUAGAUACCCCAGUAGUC